AGUGACAUCGCCGGUGUUUGCGGGUGGUUGUUGCUCUCGGGGCCGUGUGGAGUAGGUCUGGACCUGGACUCACGGCUGCUUGGAGCGUCCGCCAUGAGGAGAAGGAAGAAGGAGAGACAACCAUCUUGCAACUAGAAAAAGAUUUGCGCACCCAAGUGGAAUUGAUGCGAAAACAGAAAAAGGAGAGAAAACAGGAACUGAAGCUACUUCAAGAGCAAGAUCAAGAACUGUGCGAAAUUCUUUGUAUGCCCCACUAUGAUAUUGACAGUGCCUCAGUGCCCAGCUUAGAAGAGCUGAACCAGUUCAGGCAACAUGUGACAACUUUGAGGGACACAAAGGUACACUGCCUACAUUUGUUCUUCCUAAAAGUCACUUUGGUUUUCCUCUAGGUAUCUUGUAAUUGCUUUGUUUUAAAGGCUUCUAGGCGUGAGGAGUUUGUCAGUAUAAAGAGACAGAUCAUACUGUGUAUGGAAGAAUUAGACCACACCCCAGACACAAGCUUUGAAAGAGAUGUGGUGUGUGAAGACGAAGAUGCCUUUUGUUUGUCUUUGGAGAAUAUUGCAACACUACAAAAGU
Molecule: small RNA, 576 nt
Filed under: Pan troglodytes (chimpanzee)
Lineage: Eukaryota; Metazoa; Chordata; Mammalia; Primates; Hominidae
Description: retained intron
Source: RNAcentral